RNAcentral lists this ribosomal RNA (845 nucleotides) under Streptomyces cirratus. Its description in RNAcentral is "bacterial SSU rRNA". It matches the Rfam family "Bacterial small subunit ribosomal RNA", at positions 69 to 930 of the family's 1533-position model. Lineage: Bacteria; Bacillati; Actinomycetota; Actinomycetes; Kitasatosporales; Streptomycetaceae. The record is from RNAcentral.
AUGAAGCCCUUCGGGGUGGAUUAGUGGCGAACGGGUGAGUAACACGUGGGCAAUCUGCCCUUCACUCUGGGACAAGCCCUGGAAACGGGGUCUAAUACCGGAUAUUACUCCUGCCUGCAUGGGCGGGGGUUGAAAGCUCCGGCGGUGAAGGAUGAGCCCGCGGCCUAUCAGCUUGUUGGUGGGGUAAUGGCCCACCAAGGCGACGACGGGUAGCCGGCCUGAGAGGGCGACCGGCCACACUGGGACUGAGACACGGCCCAGACUCCUACGGGAGGCAGCAGUGGGGAAUAUUGCACAAUGGGCGAAAGCCUGAUGCAGCGACGCCGCGUGAGGGAUGACGGCCUUCGGGUUGUAAACCUCUUUCAGCAGGGAAGAAGCGAAAGUGACGGUACCUGCAGAAGAAGCGCCGGCUAACUACGUGCCAGCAGCCGCGGUAAUACGUAGGGCGCAAGCGUUGUCCGGAAUUAUUGGGCGUAAAGAGCUCGUAGGCGGCUUGUCACGUCGGAUGUGAAAGCCCGAGGCUUAACCUCGGGUCUGCAUUCGAUACGGGCUAGCUAGAGUGUGGUAGGGGAGAUCGGAAUUCCUGGUGUAGCGGUGAAAUGCGCAGAUAUCAGGAGGAACACCGGUGGCGAAGGCGGAUCUCUGGGCCAUUACUGACGCUGAGGAGCGAAAGCGUGGGGAGCGAACAGGAUUAGAUACCCUGGUAGUCCACGCCGUAAACGUUGGGAACUAGGUGUUGGCGACAUUCCACGUCGUCGGUGCCGCAGCUAACGCAUUAAGUUCCCCGCCUGGGGAGUACGGCCGCAAGGCUAAACUCAAAGGAAUUGACGGGGGCCCGCACAAGC